UGGGGAAUAUUGGGCAAUGGGCGAAAGCCUGACCCAGCGACGCCGCGUGGGCGAUGAAGGCCUUCGGGUUGUAAAGCCCUGUCAUGCGGAAAGAACGACCCUGUGACGCAUACUCACAGGGAGUGACGGUACCGCAGGAGGAAGCCCCGGCUAACUCCGUGCCAGCAGCCGCGGUAAUACGGAGGGUGCAAGCGUUGUUCGGAAUUAUUGGGCGUAAAGGGCGCGUAGGCGGGAAUGUAAGUCAGAUGUGAAAUACUUCGGCUCAACUGAAGAACGGCAGCUGAAACUGCAUAACUAGAGGACAGAAGAGGGAAACGGAAUUCCCGGUGUAGAGGUGAAAUUCGUAGAUAUCGGGAGGAACACCAGUGGCGAAGGCGGUUUCCUGGUCUGAUACUGACGCUGAGGCGCGAAAGUGUGGGGAGCAAACA
Molecule: ribosomal RNA, 428 nt
Filed under: uncultured prokaryote
Description: bacterial SSU rRNA
Rfam family: Bacterial small subunit ribosomal RNA
Source: RNAcentral